Molecule: ribosomal RNA, 486 nt
Filed under: uncultured bacterium
Lineage: Bacteria
Description: partial 16S ribosomal RNA
Rfam family: Bacterial small subunit ribosomal RNA
Source: RNAcentral
AUUGAACGCUGGCGGCAUGCCUUACACAUGCAAGUCGAACGGCAGCACGGGUGCUUGCACCUGGUGGCGAGUGGCGAACGGGUGAGUAAUACAUCGGAACAUGUCCUGUAGUGGGGGAUAGCCCGGCGAAAGCCGGAUUAAUACCGCAUACGAUCUACGGAUGAAAGCGGGGGACCUUCGGGCCUCGCGCUAUAGGGUUGGCUGAUGGCUAAUUAGCUAUUUGGUGGGGUAAAGGCCUACCAAGGCGACGAUCAGUAGCUGGUCUGAGAGGACGACCAGCCACACUGGGACUAGGACACGGCCCAGACUCCUACGGAAGGCAGCAGUGGGGAAUUUUGGACAAUGGGCGAAAGCCUGAUCCAGCAAUGCCGCGUGUGUGAAGAAGGCCUUCGGGUUGUAAAGCACUUUUGUCCGGAAAGAAAUCCUUGGCCCUAAUACGGUCGGGGGAUGACGGUACCGGAAGAAUAAGCACCGGCUAACUACGUG